CUGCUGCCUUCCGUAGGAGUCUGGGCCGUGUCUCAGUCCCAAUGUGGCCGUCCACCCUCUCAGGCCGGCUACUGAUCGUCGCCUUGGUAGGCCGUUACCCUGCCAACCAGCUAAUCAGACGCGGGCCCAUCUCGCACCACCUGGGUUUUCAGGGCAGGGGCAUGCGCCCCCGCCCGCUAUGCGGUGUUAGCACCUAUUUCUAAGUGUUAUCCCCCAGUGCGAGGCAGGUUGCCCACGCGUUACUCACCCGUCCG
This 254-nucleotide ribosomal RNA is filed under the name uncultured bacterium. RNAcentral's name for it is "partial 16S ribosomal RNA". The record is from RNAcentral.